AUGCUAACCCUAAUUCUCAUCUUUUCUCUGACUCUCCCUGCCAGUUCUAGCCCGGUGUUGUAUGAGUGGCUUUCUUCUAAAGUAAACUUCUGGCAACAGUUGGCCACAAAAGCCUUAAAUGUCUCAGAUUUUUGCCUGUCCAGUGGAGCCUCAGCCACAGACUUGUUUUCCACCUGUUUAAUUGGCAUUCCAGAACCUCUGGAAAUUUUUAGAAAUUAUACCAUGUUCCAAGACAUCCCAAAGGAUAUGUCUUACAGAGAUCUCUCUAACUGGGGAAGAGUCUCCAUGGACAAGUUGCCUGGCAUGGCUACCAUCCGCCUUGCUCAUGUUCCUCAAGCAGAAAACUGUUUUCAAAUACCCACCUGCAUCGGUGAGUGCCAUCAGCUUCCCAUUGACAACUCUCUAAAUUGUACACAUAUAGAAAAACUGUCUCAUUUGAAUGCCCAUUUGGUCCUGCCCCCAGGAUGGUUUUUCCUGUGUGGACAGACAGCCUAUGGUUAUCUACCUGCCAAUACCUCCAUGGGGAAUUGUGCAUUGGGUAGGCUGUCUCUUUUUAUGCCCUCCAAGAACGACUUAGAGUUGGCACACUUUUUGGGUCGGAAGGCAAGAUCCAUUCAGAACUUGGACCCGAAUUGUGACCCCUCAGUAGUGCUAAAAGGUAUCCCACAAUUUGUGGCGGCUGCAUUGUUCACUCCUGGAGUGGCCUCAGCCAUGAAUUAUAGGGCCAUAAAGCACCUGGCCUGCGCUCUGGUCAAAAACAUCAAUUAUACCUCUCAAGCCUUGGCAUCAGUGGCAAAGGAAAUGCAUGAGCUGCAGGAGGCUGUAUUAGAUAACAGGGCAGCUAUUGAUUUCCUCCUAUUGAAAAACCACUAUGGCUGUGAGAGUGUAAGGCACAUGUGCUGCUUUAAUUUGACAGACCAGACUCCUAUGAUUCAUAAAUCCAUCGAGGGUUUGAAUGAUUUGGCCUCAGGAAUUAAGGAGACGACUGGAUUCGACCUUAGUUUUCUGACCGAUUGGCUCCCUUCUUUAGACUGGUUGAGGAAAGGUUUUCUCCUCUUUCUAGCUGUAAUCCUUUUCCUUCUAAUAAUAAGCUGUUGCUGGUCGCAUUUGCCCGCUCUGUUCCAAAUUUGUCGCAAAAAGAACCAUUCGAACCCCUCUCAGCAGAUGGCCAUGCUGCCACUAAGAGGUUAUAAUGCUUAUGCGGUAGGGCAGGGGCGAAAUAGGCUCCGACCAUCUCGCCCCGCCCUUACCGAGUGGGGAUAUGAUAGCCGUCGCCCCAGCCUUCAAAUUGGUUUAAAAAACGCAGCGGAGAGUUCCGCCGGUCACCCACCAAAAGAACGGAGCGGGACCGCAACAGACUAUUAUUAA
Anolis carolinensis (green anole) is the source of this 1368-nucleotide long non-coding RNA. NCBI's taxonomy places the organism in Eukaryota, Metazoa, Chordata, Lepidosauria, Squamata, Anolidae. The record is from Ensembl.